AACUUAAGCAUAUCAAUAAGCGGAGGAAAAGAAACUAACUAGGAUUCCCUUAGUAACGGCGAGUGAACCGGGAUGAGCUCAAAUUUGAAAUCUGGCGUCUUUCAGGCGUCCGAGUUGUAAUCUAUAGAGGCGUUUUCCGCGCCGGACCGCGUCCAAGUCUCUUGGAAUAGAGUAUCAAAGAGGGUGACAAUCCCGUACUUGACGCGACAACCGGUGCUCUGUGAUACGUUCUCAAUGAGUCGAGUUGUUUGGGAAUGCAGCUCUAAAUGGGUGGUAAAUUCCAUCUAAGGCUAAAUAUUGGCGAGAGACCGAUAGCGAACAAGUACCGUGAGGGAAAGAUGAAAAGCACUUUGGAAAGAGAGUUAAACAGCACGUGAAAUUGUUAAAAGGGAAACGAUUGAAGUCAGUCGUGUGGGAAGUAUUCAGCCGUCUUUGGCGGUGUAUUUGCUUCUCACGGGUCAACAUCAGUUUGAUCCGGUAGAAAAAGGCGGGAAGAAGGUGGCACCCUCGGGUGUGUUAUAGCUUCCUGUCAUAUGUGCCGGACCAGACUGAGGAACGCAGCUUGCAGCAAUGCCGGGGUCGCCCACGUACAAGCUUAGGAUGUUGACAUAAUGGCUUUAAACGAC
Molecule: ribosomal RNA, 626 nt
Filed under: Vishniacozyma carnescens
Lineage: Eukaryota; Fungi; Basidiomycota; Tremellomycetes; Tremellales; Bulleribasidiaceae
Description: LSU rRNA
Rfam family: Eukaryotic large subunit ribosomal RNA
Source: RNAcentral